UUCUGAUUAGUUUACUAUAUAUAGUGGCCCAAGUAUAUAUGACUAAAUAUUGUCAGGUUGUCAUGAACUGUUCUGAUUAGUUUACUAUGUAUAGUGGCCCUAGUAUAUAUGAAUAAGUAUUGUCAGGUUGUU
Molecule: long non-coding RNA, 132 nt
Organism: Haliotis rubra (blacklip abalone)
Lineage: Eukaryota; Metazoa; Mollusca; Gastropoda; Lepetellida; Haliotidae
Exons: 2
Source: RefSeq, a predicted model, not a curated record